GCGGCAUAGCCAAGUGGUAAGGCAGAGGACUGCAAAUCCUUCACCGACGGUUCAAAUCCGUCUGCCGC
RNAcentral lists this transfer RNA (68 nucleotides) under marine eukaryotic metagenome. It matches the Rfam family "tRNA". Rfam says of the family: Transfer RNA (tRNA) molecules are approximately 80 nucleotides in length. Their secondary structure includes four short double-helical elements and three loops (D, anti-codon, and T loops). Further hydrogen bonds mediate the characteristic L-shaped molecular structure. tRNAs have two regions of fundamental functional importance: the anti-codon, which is responsible for specific mRNA codon recognition, and the 3' end, to which the tRNAs corresponding amino acid is attached (by aminoacyl-tRNA synthetases). tRNAs cope with the degeneracy of the genetic code in two manners: having more than one tRNA (with a specific anti-codon) for a particular amino acid; and 'wobble' base-pairing, i.e. permitting non-standard base-pairing at the 3rd anti-codon position. The record is from RNAcentral.